Long non-coding RNA from Dendronephthya gigantea, 571 nucleotides. RefSeq lists it as uncharacterized. The record is from RefSeq and is a predicted model, not a curated record. The transcript is spliced from 3 exons. Lineage: Eukaryota; Metazoa; Cnidaria; Anthozoa; Malacalcyonacea; Nephtheidae.
GAUUUCAACAAAAGGGAAUGAAAUUUUUGAAAAUGCUGGAAGAGAGUGCUGGAAAUGGCAUUCAGGAAUCAGGAAAUUGGAAUGAGUUGAACGGACUGAAGUCGCAUUGUCUACCUUCGUACCAUUUAUCAAUGAAAAUGAAGAUAUUGAGAAGAUGAUUAAGAAAAGCUAUAAACACUAUGACCGCAUGACCCUAACAUGCAUAAUGAUAAAUAUAUACGCAUGAUUCUUAAACGUACAUUACCGUAUUUUAUAAAUUAUAAAUUUAUGCAAUAUAAAAUUGUUUCACUCGUGGUUGCGUGUAAUUUCUUUACUUAAAUCCGAAUUUUUUCCUAAUCUGUUUGGUCGACUCACUUUACUCGCAUUUUGAGUGAAUUUACUCAAAAGUAUGUGUUACUGUGGACGCAUUCACUUUACUCUAGUAUUUGAGUAAAUCUACUCAAGCAGAAUGAGUAAAUUUACGCAAAAGUAUGUGUUACUGUGGACGCAUUCACUUUACUCAAGUAUUUGAGUAAAUCUACUCAUAUUUGAGUAAAUCUACUCAAGCAGAAUGAGUAAAUUUACGCAAAAG